This 165-nucleotide ribosomal RNA is filed under the name uncultured bacterium. Its description in RNAcentral is "partial 16S rRNA". It matches the Rfam family "Bacterial small subunit ribosomal RNA", at positions 355 to 511 of the family's 1533-position model. The record is from RNAcentral.
UGGGGAAUAUUGGACAAUGGGGGGAACCCUGAUCCAGCCAUGCCGCGUGUGUGAAGAAGGCCUUAUGGUUGUAAAGCACUUUAAGCGAGGAGGAGGCUACUUUAGUUAAUACCUAGAGAUAGUGGACGUUACUCGCAGAAUAAGCACCGGCUAACUCUGUGCCAC